UUUACUUUUUUUUUAAGGUUAUGUGGGCAAAAAAUUUGUAAUUACAAUAUUUUGUCAUGUAAGUAGUUCACUAAAUUUGCCUUAAUUGCCAAGAGUGGCAUGCUUUUCCUACCUUGUUGCGGGAAUCAGGUGUGAGUUUAUACAUGUAUGUAUAAUGUAUGUAUAAUACACAGAUAAAAACUGCUUCUGCUUUGCAAUUUCUAGAUGGAUUACUCUCCAUCGGAACCAGAAAAAUAUUGUUUAAUUCUUAUCAUGCAGUUCCUUAUUAUGGUAUUGCCUGGACCCUGCCAAAGCCGAUGUGUGAACAGUUCAACUGUCGCAUGUGACUCUGGUCAGGAACAUUAUCACACUCCGUGUAAGUUGUGUGAUCCCAUGGCCGCACAACCAAGGGUUGAGUGUAACAAUCUAUCAUUAUUCAGAUUCAUUUAUAUGAACAUUGUUAUUUCAAAUUUUAAUUCUAAAAGUUGAUUGUUACAGCUCCUCCAUUAUUGUAGACGAGGAUAAAUUAGGGGAACACUUAUUGGAUUCAUUUUACGAAUGCAAACAAGCCACAAGAACACAAAUUGACUAUUUGGUACACCAGGUUUUAAUUAGAAACUAUCACAUCAAUUAU
Long non-coding RNA from Leguminivora glycinivorella, 613 nucleotides. RefSeq lists it as uncharacterized. NCBI's taxonomy places the organism in Eukaryota, Metazoa, Arthropoda, Insecta, Lepidoptera, Tortricidae. The record is from RefSeq and is a predicted model, not a curated record. The transcript is spliced from 3 exons.